Molecule: long non-coding RNA, 481 nt
Organism: Pantherophis guttatus
Lineage: Eukaryota; Metazoa; Chordata; Lepidosauria; Squamata; Colubridae
Source: RefSeq, a predicted model, not a curated record
UGGUAAUCAUGGAGACAGAGCAGCUAUAAAAGGAAGAAGAAACUCAGCACCUGGAACUGCCAGCUGAUUUUCAAAUUCUCUUGUGCUUCAGUAUUUAUCAAUUAUCAGAUCACAAACCGUUGUUGGGAAUUCUGGCCAGCGAUCGCCAGUCUCUGCAGAUCCUGUCCCUACGGAUGACCAGGUGGGUCAUGUUCCUGGCGGCCUACAAUUAUUGACUGGCCCACUGCCCAGGUUUAACAACCUCUCCCAUCUUCACUGGCAUCCCCUGACAUUUUUCUUUGUCAAAGGAAUGGCACUUGAGCUGGUAUACAAAAAGAUGACUGGAUGGAUAGAGAAUUAUACCAAAGAACACUAAGAUCUGAAAAUGGGUGGAAAGAAAACUGACAAGCUUGUUGAGAGAUUUGAUGGAAGGUAGCUUCAAGAAGUACAACUGACUGUCUUUGAGAAAGAUCAUAGAUAAAUUAAAGAGAGAAGGACUGCU